AUGUACCCACGUACAUUCCGGUUCCUCCGCGCCGGCCGCACCCACCUGACGACUGCUCGCUACGUUUUGUUAGCC
Molecule: small RNA, 75 nt
Filed under: Xanthomonas campestris
Lineage: Bacteria; Pseudomonadati; Pseudomonadota; Gammaproteobacteria; Lysobacterales; Lysobacteraceae
Also listed under: 1 other name
Description: sX9 sRNA
Rfam family: Xanthomonas sRNA sX9
Source: RNAcentral